ACAUUAGCACAACUAUGCCCCAUGCAAUAUCUGGAAUAUACUUAUACUAAAA
Molecule: microRNA precursor, 52 nt
Filed under: Marmota monax (woodchuck)
Lineage: Eukaryota; Metazoa; Chordata; Mammalia; Rodentia; Sciuridae
Source: RNAcentral